RNAcentral lists this ribosomal RNA (459 nucleotides) under uncultured bacterium. RNAcentral describes it as "bacterial SSU rRNA". It matches the Rfam family "Bacterial small subunit ribosomal RNA", at positions 340 to 786 of the family's 1533-position model. The record is from RNAcentral.
UACGGGAGGCAGCAGUGGGGAAUAUUGCACAAUGGGCGAAAGCCUGAUGCAGCUAUGCCGCGUGUAUGAAGAAGGCCUUAGGGUUGUAAAGUACUUUCAUCGGGGAGGAAAAAAGCAAAACUAAUAAUUUUAUUUCUUGACGUUACCCGAAAAAGAAGCACCGGCUAACUCCGUGCCAGCAGCCGCGGUAAUACGGAGGGUGCUAGCGUUAAUCAGAAUUACUGGGCGUAAAGAGCACGUAGGUGGUUUUUUUAAGUUCAGAUGUGAAAUCCCUGGGCUUAACCUAGGAACUGCAUUUUGAAACUGAAAUACUAGAGUAUCGUAGAGGGAGGUAGAAUUCUAGGUGUAGCGGUGAAAUGCGUAGAUAUCUGGAGGAAUACCUGUGGCGAAAGCGGGCCUCCUAAACGAAUACUGACACUGAGGUGCGAAAGCGUGGGGAGCAAACAGGGAUUAGAUACC